AAGUAAAUGCUACCGAAUGGAGAGAGAGCCACGUAGCUCUCGGCGUGGUCCCUCAUGGGGCGCCGACACCGCCGAGCCCUGUAGCUCAGGCGGUUGCUGAGACCUCUCGGUCUCGUUGGCGUGGGCAUCGCUUCGGCGUCCCACUGGUGCGAGUACAGGAGGGGAGCUACGGUUCCUCGUCCCGGUUUUCGCUGAGCACGGUCAUACGUGCCGAUGGAGAGAGCUUCGCCGUUCGUGCGUCUCUCGCUCUAGUCGUUCGGCUUGGGUACCUAUCCCGCCUCCGUGCGGGGAGACUCGCCGGAAACCGGCUCUUGGGCCGGCAGCCGGACGGGGAGGUUUUAAAUGACUAUCGCCCAUUCACGAACACCAGUGUUUUUUUUUUUCGCUCGUGACGAGACCCUUGUGACGCAAGGCCCUGUCGCGAGGCAGGUGCAUGCAAUGAAAGAACAACCCUGAACGGUGGAUCACUCGGCUCGUGGGUCGAUGAAGAACGCAGCAAAUUGCGCGUCGACAUGUGAACUGCAGGACACAUGAACAUCGACAUUUCGAACGCACAUUGCGGUCCAUGGAUUCCGUUCCCGGACCACGCCUGGCUGAGGGUCGGUAGCUAAAACUGAGCGCUGUUUGCGUUCGAUGGUGGGAGCAUCGCGGUUCGUGCGGCGUCGGUCGCCGCUGCGUCUCCUGAAAUGAGCUCCGCUCUCGGAGCUGGACCUGUCACAUACGGACUGGGAGCACGUCGACGGUGGUCCGCGCAGCGUCUUGGUGAGCUAGCGCAGGUCGCCCCGUAGGCCCAUGCUCCCGUGACGAGAAAGAAUUGCCACCACGACCUCAGAGCAGGCGAGACUACCCGCUGAAUUUAA
Molecule: ribosomal RNA, 860 nt
Filed under: Saga rammei
Lineage: Eukaryota; Metazoa; Arthropoda; Insecta; Orthoptera; Tettigoniidae
Description: eukaryotic LSU rRNA
Rfam family: 5.8S ribosomal RNA (bases 449-603)
Source: RNAcentral